This 828-nucleotide ribosomal RNA is filed under the name Dothidea insculpta. RNAcentral describes it as "partial 28S ribosomal RNA". It matches the Rfam family "Eukaryotic large subunit ribosomal RNA", at positions 74 to 919 of the family's 3401-position model. Lineage: Eukaryota; Fungi; Ascomycota; Dothideomycetes; Dothideales; Dothideaceae. The record is from RNAcentral.
AUUGCCCUAGUAACGGCGAGUGAAGCGGCAAUAGCUCAAAUUUGAAAGCUGGCUUAUGGCCCGCAUUGUAAUUUGUAGAGGAUGCUUUUAGGCAGCCGCCGGUCUAAGUUCCUUGGAACAGGACGUCAUAGAGGGUGAGAAUCCCGUAUGUGACCGGCUCUGGCACCUUAUGUAAAGCUCCUUCGACGAGUCGAGUUGUUUGGGAAUGCAGCUCUAAAUGGGAGGUAAAUUUCUUCUAAAGCUAAAUACUGGCGAGAGACCGAUAGCGCACAAGUAGAGUGAUCGAAAGAUGAAAAGCACUUUGGAAAGAGAGUUAAAAAGCACGUGAAAUUGUUGAAAGGGAAGCGCUUGCAAUCAGACUUGGACUUGGCUGUUCAACAGGUCUUCUGACCUGCCUAUUCAGUCUUGUCCAGGCCAGCAUCAGUUUCGGCGGCCGGAUAAAGGCCCUGGGAAUGUGGCUUCUCCUUCGGGGGAAGUGUUAUAGCCCAGGGUGUAAUACGGCCAGCUGGGACUGAGGUCCGCGCUUCGGCUAGGAUGCUGGCGUAAUGGUUGUAAGCGGCCCGUCUUGAAACACGGACCAAGGAGUCUAACAUCUAUGCGAGUGUUAGGGUGUCAAACCCUUACGCGUAAUGAAAGUGAACGGAGGUGAGAACCCGCAAGGGUGCAUCAUCGACCGAUCCUGAUGUCUUCGGAUGGAUUUGAGUAAGAGCAUAGCUGUUGGGACCCGAAAGAUGGUGAACUAUGCCUGAAUAGGGUGAAGCCAGAGGAAACUCUGGUGGAGGCUCGCAGCGGUUCUGACGUGCAAAUCGAUCGUCAAAUUUGGGUAUA